RNAcentral lists this unclassified non-coding RNA (179 nucleotides) under soil metagenome. Its description in RNAcentral is "partial contains 5.8S ribosomal RNA, internal transcribed spacer 2, and large subunit ribosomal RNA". The record is from RNAcentral.
AAGACUAUAGACCUGCGGAGUACCUGCGGAAGGAUCAUCAUUAAAUCCAUUUAUACACCCUUGUGAACUGUGCGCUGAAGUUGCUACGCUCGCCGUGCAUCUUUCUUUGCAAAAACUACUUAAUUUAAAAAAGCUGAAGCAAUUUUAUUAAAUAAAACAACUUUCAACAAUGGAUCUCU